UGAUAAAGAAAAUCUUCACUUCUCUGGAGACAGGAAGUCUGAAUUCUACUCUGUGGCUGCCACUUACAAGUUCAUAGGAACUGAAAACAAGGACACCAUGUGAACUUGUGUGACCACUUUCAAUGCUGAGCCGUGGCAGAUGCUUUUGCUUCCUGAUAUCUCCUUCCAAAUAAACCACCUGCCUCCAAGUCUAAGUCCUUGUCUUAGGCUCUGCUAUUGGGAAGACUCUAACCAAGACACCAGCCUAAGCAGCAGGGUUCUUAAGUGGUACUCUAAUAAGGCCAGUACUUUUCUGUUUUGUUUCCACAUAACAUGCAAUAUGAUUUUCCUCCCAGCCUGUGCAUGCAUUUUCUCAUUGAUGGUUAGGUCCAGCCAAGGACAACUUGACUGACUUUUUUUUUUUUUUGUCAUUGUCUUAGAAUAUCUUCCCUCUAUUUACUAGGCAAGAUUUAUGUAAUUUUUGUAUUUGUCUCAUUUGUUGACAGGGAACCCUGAGCAGAACACAUGCACAAACUCAUGCCAUACCCUAAGGGACAAUAUUCCCCACAUCUACUUGGAAAUCUUUGGGAUGCUCAAUGGCAAGUACUAUAAGUUGCAAGAUUUCAAAAAUAUUCAGGAAGAAGAAAUUUGUGAGCCAAGUAGCUCCAAGUCAUUUGGCCUUCUGAGGUUAUGCUGUCCUUUCAAAUACAAAUUCAAUAAAUGAGCCCUUCCUCCACAAAUUCAAUAAGUGAUGCAGUUGGCUAAUACCCUUUCUCUUAUUUCCCUGAGUCAAUGAGUGAAAAGAAGUGGGUACAAGAUGCUCUUGGCUUAUAUAUUCUCCCAUUUGACAAACUUCCUAGUAUCCAUUUCCUAUAUCACUGUCUUUAGCUCUGGAGCUGUUAUCCUCCUGGUACCUGUCUCCUGCCUGUACCAAUUCAUUCCAAGCCAGAAAGGAGUACCUUUCCUUCAAAACCUCUGUAUCAUCAACUCAGGGCUGCUACAGAGAACUUACUUUACCUGAAGGCUUGGUCAUACAGCACAAAUAAGGAAACGACCUCAAAUAGAAUAAGUGAAUCACCUUUCCUAAGUUCAUCAGCCAUUUCUGCUCUAGGGGACUCAUAUUUUUUAUGCUUUUUUUUUUUUUUUGGCUCCUGGCCUGCUACUAUUUUUGUGGGUCUGCUCUCUCAUGCCACAGUCUUUUUUCCCUUUCCUUCAAGUCCUUAAAUUCACCUCCCACCCAUUUCAGACAAAACCUUUUUACAACACACAUUAUUACUGCAUGUGGAACUUACUGAUCAUUUGUUAAAUGGAACAAUUUAGCUAUUUAGCUUCCUUUGUGUCAACCUUCUCAUUCCAGACUCUGCCCUAGACAUUGUCUUUUGUAACAAAAAGUCCCAAUAAAAUGUUCUCUCAAACAAACUGCCGGUUGGCAAUGCACAUUUAACAAUCCAAGAAUUGGCAGAAACUUUGAAAAUCACAGCUCUUCUUUAACUGUUUAAAGACAAAAUUCUUAGGUGGUCUCGAGGUUGAAGCAUUACUCAUGACUGCUCUGUCAGGGGCUUUGUUAGAGGAAGCAGGAUGGUGGCAGAGUUCUCUACCCCUUCUCGGGAUAUAAAAUCUGCGGGUCAGAGUGGCCCCACCUGCCUCCCUCUCCUCCACAGUCAAACACAGCCUAGACUGCCUGAUUUGGGGUGCAGUCCUACUGACAACUCCACUUUAUGUCUCUGGUGGAUUUCUCAGGUUUGCAUCAUGGUCAGGGACCAGAAUAAAAGAAAGUGAACUAGGAAAUUUUUAGGGUCAGAAAAGCAGUUUUAAACUCAUACACACUUUUUAUCAAAAUCUUUUUUUUGAGACAGAGUCUCACUCGUCGCCCAGGCGGGACUGCAAGUGGCACAAUCUUGGCUCACUGCAACCUCUGCCUCCUGGGUUCAAGUGAUUCUCCUGCCUCAGCCUCCUGAGUAGCUGGAACUACAGGCAUGUGUCACCACACCUGGCUAAUUUUUGUAUUUUGAGUAGAGACGGGGUUUCACCAUGUUGGCCAGGCUGAUCUCGAACUCCUGACCUCAAGUGAUCCACCCGCCUCAGCCUCCCAAAGUGCUGGGAUUACAGGCAUGAGCCAUCGUGCCCGGCCAAAAUCUGUUUUCUUGAGUUGGGCUUAAGGUGUGGCACUGACUGCUGUUGGACUGCUGCAUCACGAGGCUAAUAGAGGUUUUCUAAAAUUCAGCAAGCCAGGCUCUAGCUUCUGAGGAUGUGUGGGGUGGAAAAUGCAGGGAGCUAGUAUUGCUGAGAUCUUCAGAUUCUUUCUCUGAAUACUUUUCCUAGACCCAAUCUCUUUCUCCCUCCUUUCUGGGACUAAUCAGUGACACAGAUAUUAGAUAUUUUGUGAUUGUCCCAUAGGUCCCUGAGGCUCUGUUCAGUUCUUUUCCCAGUCAAUUUGCUCUUUGUUGUUCAAAUUGGAAAAGUUCUAUUCUACAACUUCACCCAUUCUUUUUUCCUCUCCAUUCUGCUGUCGAGACUAUCCAUUAAUUUUUUUUAAGGUAUAGUAUUUUUCAAUUCUGAAAUUUCCAUUUGGGUCUUCUUUAUAUCUUCUGUCUCUUCACUGAGACUUUCUGUUUUUCGUUUGUCUCAAACACAUUCAUAAGUGUUUAUUGAAGCUUUUUUAUAAUUGCUGUUUUAAAAUUAUUGUUAGAUAUUUCUGGCCUUUGUGUCAUUUUGGUGUUGGUGUUUGCUGAUUAUCUUUUCUCAUUUAUGUGGAGAUUUUCCCAGUUCCUAGUAUGAUAAGUGAUUUUUGAUAGAAACCUGGACAUUUAAGGUAUUAUGAGACUCUGGAUCUUAUUUAUCUGGUAUAACAGUCUUCUUCUGGUAAUGCUUUGGUGGGUGAAAGGGGCACUGUCUCCUUAUUUCCAGGUGGGGCUACAAGUAUUGAAGUCGCAGUUCCCAAGUCAGCCUCUGUUGACUCCUGAAGAUAGGCAAUUCUUAUUACUGCUGAAUGGGCAGGAGACUUCAGGCUUUUCCCUGGCUCUCUGUGACAUCACCCUGGCAUGGAGAGGCAGGAGUGGCUCCACUGUCACUAUGAGACAAGGAUGUCCUUUUUACCAUGGAGCUUGUUCUAAGUUUCCUCUAGACUUCCUCUGUUGAUAAGCUAGUGGGGACUGGAGGAGUGAGGCUGGAAGUCCAGCCUCCCUGCCAACACCUCAGGGAUGAAGAUUCCCCUCUGGAGUCCGGAGUUUGACUUCAGAAUCUAGAGAACCUCAUCAUUGCAUCAUACAGCACACACGGAAUAAGAUGAAGGCAACAAAGAUCCCAUCUUCCAGCUGUUUGGGAAGAAUCACAGGAGAAAAACAAGGAGAGAAAAAUCUAAACCCAAUAGAAGAGAAAGUUUCAAGAAAGAGGUCGUCGCUAAUACCAAAAUUAGCUAUGAUAUUCAGGAAGAAAAAAAGGGAAACACGAUAACCACAUUCAAUAAAGACCAAGGCCAGCUUCCAUUAGCCAGAGCUCAGCCACGCGCCACACCUGGUUAAAGAGACUCUGGCUGAAGAAUUCCCUGAAUAUUUUAAUGUAGCUCUGGUUAUAACACAGAAUAACCACAAGGUGGCAGAAGAACUCCAUUCUUGUAAAUCUCUUAGUUGCUUCUUUAUUUCAUCUUCUCUAUUCUAUCUAAUGUUCCUUGAAUUUUACUAUUUUGUUGGUUUGAAAAUAUGUGUGACUUACAUCCUUUAAAGGAUUUGGUUCCUAAAGUUUUAAAUAGACUGGAAUAUAAAACAUUUAUAGAAAAGGAAAAUAACUACAGUAUGAUGUUAGUGAACUAUUAAUAAUCCAAUUAAAAUAUAUUUGCUUUGGAUUAAUAUUUAUUUUGUUUUGAUGUUUGCUAAAUAAAACUAAGCAUUAGGAGGUCAAAUAGCCACAACGAACAUUUUCAUAUUAUUUAAUAAGCCAGUUUCAAGGCAUACAUGCUAAAUUUGUUCUUAAGGAAACGUUGAAUUUUUGCUUUCAUGAAAUUACAAACUCUAAGGCAAUUGUAUACCUGUAAAUCCAAUGUGUUCUGAAGUUUAAAGUGUCAAAGGCUGUUGGAUUUAAACAGAUCUUGUAUGACUCUCUGUUUCAUCUUUUCAGAGGUUGAUAGUAAGCAAGUUUGGCAGCAACUCGCAUCUUCUGCUGUAACAUGAGGCUAAUAAUGACGACUUUAUAUGGUUGUUGCAAAGAGUCAGUGAUGCCACAAGCAACGUUCUUUAUAUAUGCAGAAUUUAAAAAAUAAAUAGAAAUAUUCCUUCCUCUAUUCCCAAGUUUUCUAACGUUAUUUGCAACUGGUGUUUUAAUGCAAGACCGAAAGCUAAAAUAUAAAUGUAGCUAGCAGAAUCAAAACCUAGAUCAGAUGUUCAAAAGCAUCAUGCUGCUAAAAGAUUUCAGAGUCUAAAACCUGUGCUCACUGUUCUGAAACAUCUUUCCACUUCCUGUUAAAAAAAUAUUCUUUGAAGCUCAUUUUUUGGGCUUCAUGUGUUGUAAUUACACAUUUGUUAUAUAGGGUAUAUGAUGACUUACGCUCUAUGGUGUUAUUCAGUACAUUGUAGGAAAAGGAGAAUAAAGAAUAUUGUUUGUCA
RNA transcript from Symphalangus syndactylus (siamang), 4577 nucleotides. RefSeq lists it as uncharacterized. The record is from RefSeq and is a predicted model, not a curated record. Lineage: Eukaryota; Metazoa; Chordata; Mammalia; Primates; Hylobatidae.